RNAcentral lists this ribosomal RNA (357 nucleotides) under uncultured bacterium. RNAcentral's name for it is "SSU rRNA". It matches the Rfam family "Bacterial small subunit ribosomal RNA", at positions 26 to 377 of the family's 1533-position model. The record is from RNAcentral.
AGAACGAACGCUGGCGGCGUGGAUAAGACAUGCAAGUCGAACGCGACUUAUCUGGUUAGCAAUAACUAGGUAAGUUGAGUGGCGAAAGGGUGCGUAACACGUGGGAAUUUACCAAGAAGUGGGGAAUAGCUCGACGAAAGUCGAAUUAAUACCGCAUAUGAUCGCAAGAUCAAAGCCGGGGACCGCAAGGCCUGGCGCUUUUUGAGAAGCCCGCGGCCCAUCAGCUAGUUGGCGGGGUAAAGGCCCACCAAGGCUAUGACGGGUAGCUGGUCUGAGAGGACGACCAGCCACACUGGAACUGAGACACGGUCCAGACACCUACGGGUGGCAGCAGUCGAGAAUUUUUCACAAUGGACG